GUGGGGAAUAUUGGACAAUGGGGGAAACCCUGAUCCAGCGAUGCCGCGUGAGUGAAGAAGGCCUUAGGGUUGUAAAACUCUUUCACCCGUGAAGAUGAUGACUGUAGCGGGAGAAGAAGCUCCGGCUAACUCCGUGCCAGCAGCCGCGGUAAUACGGAGGGGGCUAGCGUUGCUCGGAAUUACUGGGCGUAAAGCGCGCGUAGGCGGCGAAUCCAGUCAGGCGUGAAAGCCCAGGGCUUAACCCUGGAAUUGCGUUUGAUACUGAUUUGCUAGAAUUCGAGAGAGGGUAGUGGAAUUUCCAGUGUAGAGGUGAAAUUCGUAGAUAUUGGAAAGAACACCAGUGGCGAAGGCGGCUACCUGGCUCGAUAUUGACGCUGAGGUGCGAAAGCGUGGGGAGCGAACAGG
RNAcentral lists this ribosomal RNA (405 nucleotides) under uncultured bacterium. RNAcentral's name for it is "bacterial SSU rRNA". It matches the Rfam family "Bacterial small subunit ribosomal RNA", at positions 354 to 776 of the family's 1533-position model. The record is from RNAcentral.